Molecule: ribosomal RNA, 538 nt
Filed under: Euphlyctis cyanophlyctis (skittering frog)
Lineage: Eukaryota; Metazoa; Chordata; Amphibia; Anura; Dicroglossidae
Description: partial large subunit ribosomal RNA
Rfam family: Bacterial large subunit ribosomal RNA
Source: RNAcentral
GGUCAGCCUGCCCGGUGAUAUAAUUUAACGGCCGCGGUAUACUGACCGUGCGAAGGUAGCAUAAUCACUUGUUCUUUAAAUGGGGACUAGUAUGAAUGGCACCACGAGGGCUUUACUGUCUCCUUUCUUCAAUCAGUGAAACUGACCUCCCUGUGAAGAGGCAGGGAUACUACUAUAAGACGAGAAGACCCCAUGGAGCUUUAAACCCAACAACAGCCCAAACACCUACCCCCUCAAAGUUUUUAAAGUUUUGUUAGUUGGUUUUAGGUUGGGGUGACCGCGGAGUACAAACCACCCUCCACGACGAAUGGGCCUACCCCCUUACCCAAGAAUUACACCUCUAAGGAUUAACACAUUAACGUAAAAUGAUCCAAAUAUUUGAUCAACGAACCAAGUUACCCUGGGGAUAACAGCGCAAUCCAUUUUUAGAGCCCCUAUCGACAAAUGGGUUUACGACCUCGAUGUUGGAUCAGGGUAUCCCGGAGGUGCAGCCGCUUCCAAUGGUUUGUUUGUUCAACAAUUAAAACCCUACGUGAUC